Molecule: ribosomal RNA, 292 nt
Filed under: uncultured bacterium
Lineage: Bacteria
Description: partial 16S ribosomal RNA
Rfam family: Bacterial small subunit ribosomal RNA
Source: RNAcentral
GUGUCAGCAGCCGCGGUAAUACGGAGGGAGCUAGCGUUGUUCGGAAUUACUGGGCGUAAAGCGCACGUAGGCGGCUAUUCAAGUCGGGGGUGAAAGCCCGGGGCUCAACCCCGGAACUGCCCUCGAAACUAGGUAGCUAGAAUCUUGGAGAGGCGAGUGGAAUUCCGAGUGUAGAGGUGAAAUUCGUAGAUAUUCGGAAGAACACCAGUGGCGAAGGCGACUCGCUGGACAAGUAUUGACGCUGAGGUGCGAAAGCGUGGGGAGCAAACAGGAUUAGAAACCCCCGUAGUCC